AACGAACGCUGGCGGCAUGCCUAACACAUGCAAGUCGAACGAACCCUUCGGGGUUAGUGGCGCACGGGUGCGUAACGCGUGGGAAUCUGCCCUUUGCUUCGGAAUAACUCAGGGUAACUUGUGCUAAUACCGGAUGAUGUCUUCGGACCAAAGAUUUAUCGGCAAGGGAUGAGCCCGCGUAGGAUUAGGUAGUUGGUGGGGUAAAGGCCUACCAAGCCGACGAUCCUUAGCUGGUCUGAGAGGAUGAUCAGCCACACUGGGACUGAGACACGACCCAGACUCCUACGGGAGGCAGCAGUGGGGAAUAUUGGACAAUGGGCGCAAGCCUGAUCCAGCAAUGCCGCGUGAGUGAUGAAGGCCCUCGGGUCGUAAAGCUCUUUUACCAGGGAUGAUAAUGACAGUACCUGGAGAAUAAGCUCCGGCUAACUCCGUG
Molecule: ribosomal RNA, 433 nt
Filed under: uncultured bacterium
Lineage: Bacteria
Description: partial 16S ribosomal RNA
Rfam family: Bacterial small subunit ribosomal RNA
Source: RNAcentral